AAGAAGGGAAGAUAAGAGGAAAAAGAGGAGAAGAAGAAGAAGAAGGGGAAAGAAAUGGCACCUAAGGCUAUCGCUUCCUCUCCUUCGAUCGCGCAACUUUUGUGUAUGUUCAUGGUUCUGGUCCUUCAUGUCAUAAUCGUCUCGGCAGCCGAAUGCCCGGGUCAAUCUGAUCCAAGCCACCCGAAGCAUUCCCCUGGAUGUAAAUGAGGUACUUACAUUAAAAAAGAUUGGAACUCUAUACUUCUCGUGGGAAGGGAUGACAAAAAUGUGUUAAAGUAGAUUCAAGCAACUCUUGGUCCAGGUUCGGUUGGUAGGUCGAAAUAAGAUUUUCAGUGCCAAAAGAACAAGUCGGCAUAUCUUUCUUCAUUAUUGGUCUAUGAAGCUUGCAAUGACUACGGCGAUAAAUUCGAUCGGCAAAUCGGUUAUGUUUUCAAUCGACACGGCUUUUGUGAUUUGGAGAGUGAUUUGCGAUUGAUCAUGAAUGCAAAGUCGUCCAUAUGAAAGGACUCGUGAAAAA
Long non-coding RNA from Rhodamnia argentea, 517 nucleotides. RefSeq lists it as uncharacterized. Lineage: Eukaryota; Viridiplantae; Streptophyta; Magnoliopsida; Myrtales; Myrtaceae. The record is from RefSeq and is a predicted model, not a curated record. The transcript is spliced from 3 exons.